CAAUAGCGUAUAUUAAAGUUGUUGCGGUUAAAAGACUCGUAGUUGGAUUUCUGCUGAGGAUGACCGGUCCGCUUUCCGAGUGUGUAUCUGGCUCAGCCUUGGCAUCUUCCUGAAGAACGUAUCUGCACUUGACUGUGUGGUGCGGUAUUUAGGACAUUUACUUUGAGGAAAUUAGAGUGUUUCAAGCAAGCGCACGCCUUGAAUACAUUAGCAUGGAAUAAUAAGAUAGGACCUCGGUUCUAUUUUGUUGGUUUCUAGAGCUGAGGUAAUGAUUGAUAGGGAUAGUUGGGGGCAUUCGUAUUUAACUGUCAGAGGUGAAAUUCUUGGAUUCGCUCAAGACUAACUUAUGCGAAAGCAUUCACCAAGGAUGUCUUCUUUAAUCAAGAACGAAAGUU
RNAcentral lists this ribosomal RNA (395 nucleotides) under uncultured eukaryote. RNAcentral describes it as "SSU rRNA". It matches the Rfam family "Eukaryotic small subunit ribosomal RNA", at positions 592 to 991 of the family's 1831-position model. The record is from RNAcentral.